AAUAAGAGUAUGCCAAUUCAACAUUUUUAUCCUAAAUUUCAGUCUUUUCAUCCUGAAAAAAAAAUCAAAUCCCACAUGAUUUGCUGAAAUUUAGGAUGAAAAUGUUGAAGUAGCAUGCUUUUAUU
This is a non-coding RNA of Gossypium raimondii (Peruvian cotton), 125 nucleotides long. The record is from Rfam. NCBI's taxonomy places the organism in Eukaryota, Viridiplantae, Streptophyta, Magnoliopsida, Malvales, Malvaceae.